This is a long non-coding RNA of Magnolia sinica, 1198 nucleotides long. RefSeq lists it as uncharacterized. The transcript is spliced from 5 exons. The record is from RefSeq and is a predicted model, not a curated record. Lineage: Eukaryota; Viridiplantae; Streptophyta; Magnoliopsida; Magnoliales; Magnoliaceae.
UAUUGUUUAUAUGUUACUAGUAUGUAGUAGAUAUUACUAGGUUAAUUUAUCAAAACAAAAUUUGUUCCUUUAGUUUAAAAUACAUUCUAUUAUUAGUUAGCUAGAUGAUGAAUGUCAAUUGCGGUUAUGUAAUUGUUUAAGUAUAAGACAAUCAGUUGCCCAUUUGAAAAUUUUUAUGUGGCCAAGUAUAGAUAUAGUGUGCUUUUAGAGGCAUAAAAAUUCUCAAAUUGUCCCACGUUUGGACAAUUCAAGGCUGGAUAGAUUAGAAUGCUUUUGGUUCCCUGAUUUAAAUGCACAUGCUAGUUCUGCAUUGUAUCUGUCCUUUUCUCUCUGGUUAUAUUUCUUAUAUUUAUUUCUAAUGUCAAAUAUCCUCACAUUAUAUAGAUACUUGAUGUGGAAAUCAAAUGCAAGAUCAACGUAUCUAGAGAGACGUGGGGAGAUGCUGCCGGAAUUUUGGUGUGGACAUUUAAAUGAGAACGUAAAAGCAUUGCAAUCUAUCCAGUCUUAGAUGGAUGACUAAUUUAGCCAGUCAAUUAAAGAUAUCAUUAGGGAUUCUAUAGGAAUCCCUAAAUCGUCAUUGCUUGUGGGGUUGCAAUUGUUGUAGCACAUGAACUUGCACAUCAAUGGUUUGGAAAUCUUGAAUGGAAUGGUGGAUACAUUUGUGGCUUAAUGAGGGUUUCACGACAUGGGUGAGCUAUUUAGCAACUGAUUGCUCGUUUUCUGAAUGGAAAAUUUGGACGCAAUUUCUUGACCAGACUACUCAGGGCCUUAGGCUGGACUGGCUUGCAGAAUCACACGCUAUUGAGGUUGUACUGUGGAUGCUUGCUAUGAGGAAAGAAGAGUCCAGCAAAACCUGAUACACAUGGGAUAUAUCUAUAUAUACAUGUGCAAGUGUAUGAAGAUAGAAGAGGCUGCAGCAUUGAGGAUGCCAAAGUUGUUUGUGAACCCCAUAUUUUGGACCAGAAUCUGUCUAUAUGAGUAAAAAGACCCACAACUUUUUCUUCUUUUCAUUUUCUGAAGUUGGUUUUGGUUUUUUUUUUUCCCUCCUGUUUGGAAGGGAUUCUUGGAUGAUCAAUACACACAACAGUUCUUCCAGGAUUAACUGUUCAUUAUAAAUUAAUAAAAUGAUUUUAAGGAUUAGAAAAUAUAGGUCUAAAAUGAUUUAUUUUAGCUUUCAAAAAGUGGUGAGAUUUUGAAA